Molecule: ribosomal RNA, 497 nt
Filed under: uncultured bacterium
Lineage: Bacteria
Description: partial 16S ribosomal RNA
Rfam family: Bacterial small subunit ribosomal RNA
Source: RNAcentral
GAUGAACGCUGGCGGCGUGCCUAAUACAUGCAAGUCGAGCGAACAGACGAGGAGCUUGCUCCUCUGACGUUAGCGGCGGACGGGUGAGUAACACGUGGAUAACCUACCUAUAAGACUGGGAUAACUUCGGGAAACCGGAGCUAAUACCGGAUAAUAUAUUGAACCGCAUGGUUCAAUAGUGAAAGACGGUUUUGCUGUCACUUAUAGAUGGAUCCGCGCCGCAUUAGCUAGUUGGUAAGGUAACGGCUUACCAAGGCAACGAUGCGUAGCCGACCUGAGAGGGUGAUCGGCCACACGAGAACUGAGACACGGUCCAGACUCCUACGGGAGGGAGCAGUAGGGAAUCUUCCGCAAUGGGCGAAAGCCUGACGGAGCAACGCCGCGUGAGUGAUGAAGGUCUUCGGAUCGUAAAGCUCUGUUAUUAGGGAAGAACAAAUGUGUAAGUAACUAUGCACGUCUUGACGGUACCUAAUCAGAAAGCCACGGCUAACUACGUG